ACGGAAGGCAGCAGUGAGGAAUAUUGGUCAAUGGUCGGAAGACUGAACCAGCCAAGUCGCGUGCAGGAAGACGGUCCUAUGGAUUGUAAACUGCUUUUGUACGGGAAUAAAGUGGGGGACGUGUCCCCUUUGGAAUGUACCGUAAGAAUAAGGAUCGGCUAAAUCCGUGCCAGCAGCCGCGGUAAUACGGAGGACCCGAGCGUUAUCCGGAUUUAUUGGGUUUAAAGGGUGCGCAGGCGGAGGAUUAAGUCAGCGGUGAAAUUUUCAUGCUCAACAUGAAAACUGCCAUUGAUACGGGUCCCUUGAGAGCUGACGAGGAUGGCGGAAUUCGAUGUGUAGCGGUGAAAUGCUUAGAUAUGUCACAGAACACCGAUUGCGAAGGCAGCUGUCCAGAGAUCAUCUGACGCUCAGGCACGGAAGUAUGGGUAUCAAACAGGAUUAGAUACCCUGGUA
This 453-nucleotide ribosomal RNA is filed under the name uncultured Porphyromonadaceae bacterium. Its description in RNAcentral is "partial 16S ribosomal RNA". It matches the Rfam family "Bacterial small subunit ribosomal RNA", at positions 341 to 792 of the family's 1533-position model. The record is from RNAcentral. Lineage: Bacteria; Pseudomonadati; Bacteroidota; Bacteroidia; Bacteroidales; Porphyromonadaceae.